CUACGCGAUUACGUCAUGCACGCUCGCUCGUGGUACUGUGAGGAAUUGUCCCAGCAGCACCCCUUCGCCUGCCUCCGCCCCACCAGUCAUGCUACGGACAGGACCGCAACAUUUUCAGCCAAACUACAAGGAAACAUAAACACAAAGUCUCCAAUUUCACUGAACAUACCAAGUGGAACGAUUCUUCUUCUAGACACAUCUGGUGCCGCGACAUUUCAUUUGGUUAUCGGAUGUACGCAUGGGAGUGAUCCGGCAAAAGAAAAGGCAGAAGGUUGUAUCCUAUUCGUUAGUGGCAGCACAGGGGGAGGAGCCAUGAGUGAAGGGGAGGGGCUCUUCCACAGCGUGCAGGUGGGUGACUCCACCUUCACUGUGCUGACCCGCUAUCAGCAGCUCCGCGCUAUCGGGUCUGGUGCCCAGGGCAUUGUCUGCUCGGCCCUGGACAGUGUCCUUGGGGUCCCAGUGGCGGUGAAGAAACUGAGCCGGCCCUUCCAGAACCAGACCCACGCCAAGCGGGCCUAUAGGGAGCUGGUGCUGCUCAAGUGCGUCAAUCACAAAAAUAUUAUUAGGCUCCUGAAUGUCUUCACACCACAGAAUUCACUGGAGGAGUUCCAGGAUCUCUACCUGGUGAUGGAGUUGAUGGAUGCCAGUCUGUGCCAGGUCAUCCACAUGGAUCUGGACCAUGAGAGGAUGUCCUACCUGCUCUACCAGAUCCUCUGUGGCAUCAGACACCUGCACUCCGCUGGCAUUAUCCACAGGGACCUGAAGCCCAGUAACAUAGUGGUGAAGUCUGACUGUACUCUGAAGAUCCUGGACUUUGGGCUGGCCAGAACAGCCUGUACUAACUUCAUGAUGACCCCUUACGUUGUGACCCGAUACUAUAGAGCACCAGAGGUCAUCCUGGGCAUGAAGUAUAAAGAGAAUGUGGACAUCUGGUCAGUGGGAUGCAUCAUGGGAGAGAUGGUGAAGGGCAGCGUUAUAUUCCAGGGAACGGAUCACAUUGACCAGUGGAACAAGGUGAUUGAGGUUCUGGGCACGCCCCCCAUGGAGUUUAUGAACCGUUUGAUGGAGACUGUGAGGAACUAUGUGAUGAACAAGCCCCAGUACCCAGGGGUCAGCUUCUCUCAACUCUUCCCUGACUGGGCCUUCCCGGCAGAGACAGAGCAGGAUCAACUCAAGACCAGUCAAGCACGGGACCUGCUUUCCAAGAUGCUGGUGAUUGACCCAGAGAGCCGUAUUUCAGUGGAGGAUGCCCUGGAUCACCCCUACAUCCACAUGUGGUACGACCCAGGAGAGGCUGAUGCAGUGAGUCUGGCUGUAAUAUAAUAAUAAGAUCACCCCUACAUCCACAUGUGGUACGACCCAGGAGAGGCUGAUGCACCACCACCACAGAUAUCUGAUAAACAGCUGGAGGAGCGAGAACACAGCAUUGAACAGUGGAAAGAGCUGAUCUAUGACGAGUUGAUGGACUGGGAGGAGAGGAACCAGAAUGGAGUAAUGAAGGAGGACUGUGCAGAUGAAGUGGUGAACCACAGUGCUACAGCUUCCCAGUCAUCCUCUACGAGUGACUUCUCCUCAAUGUCCACUGAGCAGACCUUGGCCUCUGACACCGACAGCAGCUGUGUUGACACCCUCACAGGGGCGCUAGAGGAGUGACAGAGAACCUCUUUCCACCCCGGCAUCUGUUUUUUUUUUCAAUCAUCACUAACUAUCCAUCUUCUUAGGUAGCACUUUUCACAUGACUUUAUACUGUCUAUUUUUACUUUGGGUCCCGCUGGAUGGUAAAUCAUUCAACCGCUUUUCUUUUUUAAACUGAAAAUGAUUCCGUUUUAAAUUGAACUCUCUCUGUCACUCUUUCCCUAUCUCUGUUGUAAAUAGUCCAUUCAUACUGUACCAUGGUUCAAAUAAGUCAUGCACCUCUAGACUUGUUGUCCAAGCCAAGAGCACACGCUGUUCAAUGUGUAGUUUGACCACCUUCAGUUUCAGUAUAAAGUACUGUAUAUGCAUUAAACUAGGGCUAGGCUAUAAUGUCUUAUGACUGUUUUGUCAUCAGAAAUAUCUAAUGAUGAACAAAAGACAUUGCUGCAUGUUACUACAAAUGAAUACUUGACUACACAUAGAAGCAGCUGUGAUGCAAGAUCUUCAUGUAUUUCCAUCCAGAGGACAUUAGCCUCCUCUGUGUGAAGAAACAGUACUUGGCUCUGGUCUGGGUCUUUCCUAAUGAGGGUAAAGAGUGAUACAUUUUAUGCAUGUUAUGUGUGUUCAUGUACAUAAGUAUCUAUCUAUACUGUAUACUGUGUGUUUAAAUGUAUUGAUUGUUGUGAUGCUGAGACUGGGUUUUACAGCUAAUCCAAAUAUGCUGAGGCAUACAAACUGUACAAAAUACAUCCAUUUAUUUUGGAACAAACUAUUGUUAAAAUGCAAUGGGAGACAUGUCAGAAAUAUGUUGAUGUUUGAAAGAUGUAUUAUAAUGAAACUGAAUGGGAAAAAAGGUGAAUGGUGGAUACAUUGCACUUUCUAGACAAUUUCAGCUUAAAGUCAUUCCAAGAAAAAUAUUGAUUAAAAGAGGGAUACAAUCAUG
Oncorhynchus tshawytscha (Chinook salmon) is the source of this 2578-nucleotide RNA transcript. It is a transcript of the gene named mitogen-activated protein kinase 9, with no coding region annotated. NCBI's taxonomy places the organism in Eukaryota, Metazoa, Chordata, Actinopteri, Salmoniformes, Salmonidae. The transcript has 12 exons. The record is from RefSeq and is a predicted model, not a curated record.